Glycine soja is the source of this 933-nucleotide RNA transcript. It is a transcript of the gene named bet1-like protein At4g14600, with no coding region annotated. The transcript has 4 exons. Lineage: Eukaryota; Viridiplantae; Streptophyta; Magnoliopsida; Fabales; Fabaceae. The record is from RefSeq and is a predicted model, not a curated record.
AGCAUGCAUUGGGACAUAAUGGUAACUUGCAAUUUGCAAUAAAUUGAAUGCGUUCACGAAACCUUGGCUUUCAAGUUGAAAUGAGAAUUGUGUGGAACUCAUUUUUCCCCAUUUUGUGAAAUUCAAUUCAAUUCCAAGGGUUUCCAUUUCAAUGUCUUCCAAUUCUCACAGAGGUGCCUCCUUUUACGGCAAUGCUGCUCCUUACCGAUCCAGAGAGGGGCUUAGCACCCGACCCGUUGCAUCCUCCGAUGAAAUCCAAUUGCAUAUCGAUCCCGGCGUCGACUUCGACGACGAAAUCACCGGUCUUCGUGGCCAAGUUAGAAAAUUGAAAAAUGUUGCUGAAGAGAUAGGUUCAGAAGUCAAGUUUCAGAGAGAUUUUCUGGAACAAGUGAAAAUGGUAAUGAUAAAAGCUCAAGCCGGGGUGAAAAGAAUAACUUAAGAAGAUUGAACAAGAGCAUCGUCAAAAAUGGUUCCAACCAUAUUGUUCAUGUGGUUGUUUUUGCAUUAGUCUGCUUCUUUAUAGUAUACUUCCGGUCAAAGAUGUCCGGCCAAUGAUGGCUCAUAGUUGAAAGAUUUUUAUUCAGGGCCUUCUUCGGAUGACUCACUACGAUGCCUAAUCUUGUACAGAAAAGCUACACUUCCUGUUGCAGUUACAGUUAAAAAUUCUUCGAUUUCAAAGUUAUGUGACUUGGUCGAAGCAGUAGUUUUGUGUAAUACAAAGGAUAACUCGCUUGUUUAAUAGACUGCAAAAUCCUCUUUUCUCUUAAAACUAUCAUGUGAAUAUCUGAUAAAUGUAGUAGUUAAUAGCAUCCUUGAACUUUACUCAGUAAAUGGCACAAUAGAUGAAGCCUCAAAAUGGUGAAGUUAUCUGGUUUGUUUUUGUUGCCGAGUGAAUUGUGAUGCUAAUAGUAAAUGACAUUAAUAUUCACUGGA